Molecule: transfer RNA, 52 nt
Filed under: Porphyromonas gingivalis JCVI SC001
Lineage: Bacteria; Pseudomonadati; Bacteroidota; Bacteroidia; Bacteroidales; Porphyromonadaceae
Description: tRNA-Asp
Rfam family: tRNA
About the family: Transfer RNA (tRNA) molecules are approximately 80 nucleotides in length. Their secondary structure includes four short double-helical elements and three loops (D, anti-codon, and T loops). Further hydrogen bonds mediate the characteristic L-shaped molecular structure. tRNAs have two regions of fundamental functional importance: the anti-codon, which is responsible for specific mRNA codon recognition, and the 3' end, to which the tRNAs corresponding amino acid is attached (by aminoacyl-tRNA synthetases). tRNAs cope with the degeneracy of the genetic code in two manners: having more than one tRNA (with a specific anti-codon) for a particular amino acid; and 'wobble' base-pairing, i.e. permitting non-standard base-pairing at the 3rd anti-codon position.
Source: RNAcentral
GGUGUGGUAGUUCAGCUGGUUAGAAUACCUGCCUGUCACGCAGGGGGUCGCG